GGAAAGAGGCGGUGGGAGAAGAGGGGGUGGAGCCGGGGGAGGAGGGAACGUGUGGGAACUUGGGGACUGGGCGAGGUGAGGGCUUGGGCGGGCGUGAGCCCCAGGUGCUGCGCUCUCUGCCUGGGCUCGGAACCCGGCGGGACCAGGACCACAGUCUCCGGGGUCAUCCGUUCCCUCCCCACCCAAAAAGGAAUCGCCACCGGGUCGGAGGCUGAGGCUUAGAAGCUGAUGUCUUCUCUCUGAGGUGGAAUUACAUUUACCAAGCUCAUGGGACUGAUGUGGAAAAUCGGAACGUCAGUGUAUUCACUGAUAACGAGAAAUAUAAUUGCUGAGAAGACUGGAAUACUCUCAUCAGUGUGACCAGCACAUUCUUUCCCAGAGGCAGAUCUAAGUGAAAAGCCAAAUUAUACAAAGAAGGUGGCUUGGUGAGCGUUUGAUCAUUGAGUUCUAUUGAUGAAGAGCCUAAUGCAGGUCUCCACUGAAUGUCAAUGUCAAACAUUGUACUGGACACUAGGUGGAGAAUGGUGAAUAAGAGAGAUGGGUCUCCGUGCUCACAGGUUCUAAGGCACUGGGGGAAGACAGGCCCUGAACAGUUCCUGGUGUUCAAGGAAAUCUCUGUCAAAACUCCGUGGAGCAUGAGCUAAAGGAACAGAGACAUCAGUGACUUCAUGUGAGUUUAUGUUCAUUUGCUACAGCAGCGGUAGGAAGCUAACUCAGCGCUCAUCGAACGUUAGCUCUGGCCAUUGGGGAGGAACUUCAGCUGCAUGUUACCUGUGGUCAGUGUGUUCAGUAAAUACUGAUCACAAUAAACAUAAUGGAUACGAGAACUCGCCGGAAGCGGUAUAGCAGGAGGUCUGUUCCUUUUCUGCUUAACUGUUGGUAUCGGAAGCAUCUGAAAGUACUUUGUUCAGUUUUUAAAAAAAAUCUGUAAUUCUGAACCAGUUACUUUAUUCCACGGUGCCGGCCUGAUUCCACACUUUGGUGAAAAUUAGUAAUUUUUUAACAGGUAGAGGCGGCAGUGAAAUGGAACACACCUCAGGUCGGAAGUCCGAAAGUUGGGCCCUGGUCUCAGCUCCACCUCUAUCUGGCAGUGUGACUUGGGUCAUCUUGCCUCCUCUCUUUGGGUUUUGUUUUCCCCAUUCAGAAAAUGAAGGAAUUAGAUCAAGAAUAAUUCCCAUGUGUCAAAUGCCUACAAUGCACAAUUUAUACAUAUGGUCUCAUCUGAGCCACAUAAAAACUGUGCAAGGUAUCAUCCCCAUUUUAUAGUUGAGAAAACUGAGAGGCCCAGAGAGGUUAAGUGACUUUCCCAAGGUCACAGAGUAUCAGAGCUGUGAUUUAAAACCAGGACUGUUUGACUCGUUUUGAUAAGCCCCUCUACCUUUCCACGUUUUGGAGGUCGACACUGUCUUCACAGAACAUGCUUAUGAGGCACCUGCUUUUUUCCGUAUAUCAUAGUGAGGAUAAUGGGUCUCUCUAGCUUCCCACUUGAGGGGUCUGGAACCUGGUCCCUCUCUUGUGUUUCUGAGAACCUCUGAUUCAGCCCCUCGGAGACUUCCCUCGCAACCAUGUAUCCCUCCUCUCACCUCUAACAGACACUACGAGGUGCUGAACCAAUGUCUGGCCUCUCCUUUUUACUUAGUAACAGAAUCCUAAUUUUGUUCGAAUAAAAUGUACCCACUUAAAAAUACCUGCCCGCAUUCCCUUGCAGGUGCACCCGUACAGGUGGUCCCCUGACCCAGUUCUGACCAAUGAGAUGUAAGUGGACGUUUGGGUGGGGAUUCUUGGGAAUCUAUCUUCUUCAUACUAAAAGGUGGGAGAAGUCAGCAAGCCUAAGGCACAAAUUGCCUUUGUUUUCAUCCUCGCCUGGAACGUAGGUGAGGUUUCUGGAAGUGGAGCAGCCAUCUUGUGACUGUGAGGGUGAGUGCCACCUGCUAAGGAUAGCAGAGCCGGAAGACCGAAGAAACUUCUUUGUAAUCGGUCCUCUGUACCAGCCUGGAUUGCCUAGACUUCUUGUCACAUGAGAAAAAUAAAGCUUUAUUUGGUCAGAUUUCUGUUCUGUCAACUUCAUACCAUCCUAACUGACAGGUUCUCUGAGAAAAGUCUCUCCUCUGCCCUGUAGGCCUGACAUGUGGCCUUAAUAAGCACCUGUGGUGACUCAAAAAUAGACCAGGGGGGAAGAGAAAUUGGCCAUGGCUGUGAUUCUGAACUUGCUGAGCCAUCACCUGUUCAAUCCAUGCUCUGAAGAAGAGUCUGUUAAUUACACUCUCCUUGGCCAGCCAGAGCACAGGAGGCUGCGUCCGUGUGUUCUCAGGGAAGCUCAAAUAUAGCUCAGGCUCCUUCACCGCUUUUGCUGAGUGUGCAGCUUCCGCGUGUCUGGCAGCCCCAGCGAAGAAUGGAGAAGCUUUUCCCGGGAGGUUAGAGUCUGAAGAAGGUGCUAGGAAACAGGGAUGCUGGCAAGGUCUGGCUCAAGGAAACAAGAUCUUCCCUCCCGCCUUCUGCAAGGAGUUAAAGCAAUAUGGAAAAGUACAAAGAAGGAAGUGAGAAAGUCAAGUGAUCAAGGUCAACAGCACGAAGGGGCUUCACUGUCAGGGAUGAGCUGAGGCUCAGGAAGCAGCCACGAAAACCUGCCUUGCACCCCCUCUCAUUUCUCCGCUGCGCUGGAAUCGGACUCUAAAUGGAAAGAGGGAGUCAAGAGGGCCCCAACCUGGCUCCCUCAUCCGGGCAGAAGCUGUCCCUUUAAAAGAGAGAGGAGGCAGAGUUGGCUUACUGCUGCUAGAAGAGGCUGACUGACAGCCAGUGUGCUCCCGGGAGGCCUGAUGUCAUCGCCAGUGAGCAACAAGGCACCUGACUGGCAGCAGAAUGAGGAGUCCAGGAGCCUUGGCUGUGACUGCCGGGG
Long non-coding RNA from Felis catus (domestic cat), 2896 nucleotides. RefSeq lists it as uncharacterized. The transcript has 5 exons. The record is from RefSeq and is a predicted model, not a curated record. Lineage: Eukaryota; Metazoa; Chordata; Mammalia; Carnivora; Felidae.